This is a long non-coding RNA of Labrus bergylta (ballan wrasse), 851 nucleotides long. RefSeq lists it as uncharacterized. The record is from RefSeq and is a predicted model, not a curated record. Lineage: Eukaryota; Metazoa; Chordata; Actinopteri; Labriformes; Labridae.
CGUCCAAAUCCUGCUGAGCGCUGCUCAAGCUCGCGAGGUUUAUGUAAGUUUACACAAAGUUUGUCCUGAAUUAUCCAACUCCCUGUACAAACACACGCACACCCAGCCAGGCUCUGAGAAAGCAUUAGCCCGGACCAGAGGAGGCUCACAAAUCUUCCUCCGUUAAAUUGAUGCUAUUACCUGCACUCAGCUUUGAAAGGAAGGAUCCCGACAGAGAGAGAGCUUUUUUGUUACAGAUGAACAACAUGUCCCCCCCUUUGUACCAUGAGAAGAAGGAAAAAAGGGGCACAGAGAUUGCUGCAGCCUGGACACUCAGAGAAUAAUAAUGAUUGAGUUUAUAUUCACAGUUACAACACAGGAUGUCUCCACUCUAUCCACGUCAAAGAGGAAUUCCUGCUCUAUACACAACUCCUCCAGUUUCUCCUUCUUUUCCCACAGUCCAGGAGAACAUGUUCCUUCGCCUCCAUGUUUACAACUUUGCAGCUUCCUGCUUGGUGCUGGAGAGGCCGCUCCUAUUGGUUGUUGUAAAUGGUCACACCUUUGAACAACUCAAUAUGCGUCAAGAAAAAUUAAUUGAUCCCUGUUUCUAUAAAACUUUGAAAUAGUGUCAAAUAAGACAGAUAAGCACUGGCAUAUCAUGUGUCUUUGCACUCGUAUUUUAAGAAUCUGAAGUUGUUUAUAUAAUGAAUUGUUUUCUGGACUUUACUAAAUAAUGUUUAUCGUUUCAUGUUUGAUGUAAACGAUGUUGAUGGGAUGUUGCACGGGCGAAGAGCCCAAGACAAAUUUGCCCCUUUGUGAACAAUAAAGUUCAUCUUGAAUCUUGAAGAUUAAAGACCUGCGAUGACAUCAAA